Molecule: unclassified non-coding RNA, 145 nt
Filed under: soil metagenome
Description: partial internal transcribed spacer 1
Source: RNAcentral
UAAUAAGUGUUUUAUGGCACUUUUUAAAUCCAUAUCCACCUUGUGUGCAAUGUCAGUCGAUCUUCUUCAUGGAGAUCGACCAAACAUCAACCUUUAUCUUUUAACUCUUUGUCUGAAAAAUAUUAUGAAUAAAACAAUUCAAAUA